AUAUCAAUCAUAGUACAUAUACUAAAAAUUGGAAUGAUACAGAGAAGAUUAGCUUGGUGCCUGCACAAAGGAUGCCAUGCAAAUUCAUGAAGUGUCCCAUAUAAAA
This is a small nuclear RNA of Mustela putorius furo (domestic ferret), 106 nucleotides long. The record is from Ensembl. NCBI's taxonomy places the organism in Eukaryota, Metazoa, Chordata, Mammalia, Carnivora, Mustelidae.